CAGAUCAUUUCUAUUAGUUGAGUUUUCAUUUACGCUGAAUUAUUAUACCGUGCGAUUCGGUAUGAUCUGA
Molecule: transfer RNA, 70 nt
Filed under: Crenetermes albotarsalis
Lineage: Eukaryota; Metazoa; Arthropoda; Insecta; Blattodea; Termitidae
Description: tRNA-Val
Source: RNAcentral